This 65-nucleotide transfer RNA is filed under the name marine eukaryotic metagenome. It matches the Rfam family "tRNA", at positions 7 to 64 of the family's 71-position model. Rfam says of the family: Transfer RNA (tRNA) molecules are approximately 80 nucleotides in length. Their secondary structure includes four short double-helical elements and three loops (D, anti-codon, and T loops). The record is from RNAcentral.
GGGGCAUAGCUCAGUUGGUAGAGCAUCUGCUUUGCAAGCAGAGGGUCUGCGGUUCGAAUCCGCAU